CAAUAGCGUAUAUUUAAGUUGCUGCAGUUAAAAAGCUCGUAGUUGGAUUUCGGGUGGGAAUGGCCGGACCGCCGUUUCGGUGUGCACUUGCUACGCCCACCUUGCUGCCGGGGACGUGCUCUUGAGUUCACGCUCGGGACACGGAGUCGGCGAGGUUACUUUGAGUAAAUAAGAGUGUUCAAAGCAGGCCUACGCUCUGAAUACAUUAGCAUGGAAUAACACGAUAGGACUCUGGCCUAUCAUGUUGGUCUGUAGGACCGGAGUAAUGAUUAAGAGGGACAGUCGGGGGCAUUCGUAUUUCAUUGUCAGAGGUGAAAUUCUUGGAUUUAUGAAAGACGAACUACUGCGAAAGCAUUUGCCAAGGAUGUUUUCAUUAA
RNAcentral lists this ribosomal RNA (377 nucleotides) under uncultured eukaryote. RNAcentral's name for it is "partial 18S ribosomal RNA". It matches the Rfam family "Eukaryotic small subunit ribosomal RNA", at positions 592 to 976 of the family's 1831-position model. The record is from RNAcentral.